GAUGAACGCUGGCGGCGUGCCUAAUACAUGCAAGUCGAGCGAACAGACGAGGAGCUUGCUCCUCUGACGUUAGCGGCGGACGGGUGAGUAACACGUGGAUAACCUACCUAUAAGACUGGGAUAACUUCGGGAAACCGGAGCUAAUACCGGAUAAUAUAUUGAACCGCAUGGUUCAAUAGUGAAAGACGGUUUUGCUGUCACUUAUAGACGGAUCCGCGCCGCAUUAGCUAGUUGGUAAGGUAACGGCUUACCAAGGCAACGAUGCGUAGCCGACCUGAGAGGAUGAUCGGCCACACUGGAACUGAGACACGGUCCAGACUCCUACGGGAGGCAGCAGUAGGGAAUCUUCCGCAAUGGGCGAAAGCCUGACGGAGCAACGCCGCGUGAGUGAUGAAGGUCUUCGGAUCGUAAAGCUCUGUUAUUAGGGAAGAACAAAUGUGUAAGUAACUAUGCACGUCUUGACGGUACCUAAUCAGAAAGCAACGGCUAACUACGUG
This 497-nucleotide ribosomal RNA is filed under the name uncultured bacterium. RNAcentral describes it as "partial 16S ribosomal RNA". It matches the Rfam family "Bacterial small subunit ribosomal RNA", at positions 28 to 507 of the family's 1533-position model. The record is from RNAcentral.